Molecule: ribosomal RNA, 497 nt
Filed under: uncultured bacterium
Lineage: Bacteria
Description: partial 16S ribosomal RNA
Rfam family: Bacterial small subunit ribosomal RNA
Source: RNAcentral
GAUGAACGCUGGCGGUGUGCCUAAUACAUGCAAGUCGAGCGAACAGAUGAGGAGCUUGCUCCUCUGACGUUAGCGGCGGACGGGUGAGUAACACGUGGAUAACCUACCUAUAAGACUGGGAUAACUUCGGGAAACCGGAGCUAAUACCGGAUAAUAUAUUGAACCGCAUGGUUCAAUAGUGAAAGACGGUUUUGCUGUCACUUAUAGAUGGAUCCGCGCCGCAUUAGCUAGUUGGUAAGGUAACGGCUUACCAAGGCAACGAUGCGUAGCCGACCUGAGAGGGUGAUCGGCCACCCUGGAACUGAGACACGGUCCAGACUCCUACGGGAGGCAGCAGUAGGGAAUCUUCCGCAAUGGGCGAAAGCCUGACGGAGCAACGCCGCGUGAGUGAUGAAGGUCUUCGGAUCGUAAAACUCUGUUAUUAGGGAAGAACAAAUGUGUAAGUAACUAUGCACGUCUUGACGGUACCUAAUCAGAAAGCCACGGCUAACUACGUG